ACGCUCGACACCUACGGGAGGCUGCGGUGGGGAAUAUUGCACAAUGGGGGAAACCCUGAUGCAGCGACGCCGCGUGGAGGAAGAAGGUCUUCGGAUUGUAAACUCCUGUUGUUGGGGAAAAAGAGGAUGGUACCCAACAAGGAAGUGACGGCUAACUACGUGCAAGCAGCCGCGGUAAUCUGAGCGGGCUGGCAAGGC
RNAcentral lists this ribosomal RNA (198 nucleotides) under uncultured bacterium. Its description in RNAcentral is "partial 16S ribosomal RNA". It matches the Rfam family "Bacterial small subunit ribosomal RNA", at positions 328 to 539 of the family's 1533-position model. The record is from RNAcentral.